CUGCUCAUAACGAGUCCGAAAAAACCAAUAAACACCAAGCAUGUUUCGUCAAAAGCACUUGAUUAAAUAAUCUCAGAUCUCGAAAGGCCAUACCUCCUACUCCUUUAUGUCUUGUCAUCUUAUCCCAAGCCAAUGUGUUCUCUUCCUAUUUGUUAGAAAUUAAUUAGUAUAUUAAUUUAAGGGAUGUGUCCAACCCGAAUAGUGGUGUCUCCUCUCUCUCUUCAUUGCACCUGUUCUGGAGAGAUGUCUCCGAACAGGCACCUCUUCUUCGCACCUCUUCCAGAUGUAUAUAAACUUGAGAAUCAAUAGAAAUCAGGACUGAUCGACCAUUCACUUUCAUUCAAUCUCGUUUUACUCUAACACGUUAUCACGCACUUCGCUCUCCAUUAAAGAGAUAGGCCACGACAAAAGAAGAACAGCGAAGAAUAGGGGCAUCAGUCCUCGUCGAUAGACGCGAUCCGAGCCUCCUCGCGCCACCGAUUCCUAGCGCCGCCUCGCCCCCGCCGUCGUCGCGUCUCCGGCAAGACAGGACCCCGCCAUGCCGAUCUCAUCGUCCCUCUCCGCGCGCCUCGCCCCCGGUCCUGCGCCCAUGGCCGCGCCCGCACGGUAGGGCCCUUACGUCCGCCCCAGGCCGAGGCAGACACAGCCGCGACUCACAUCCUCACGACGUGGUCGCGCUCGCGCCAGCGGCCCUCCCUGCAGCGGCCGCCCCGCAACGCGCUCGCCACGAGCUCGUCCGGCCCGUGCGAGCCUGAGAGACACGCUCGCGUCGGCUCCGCCUGCGCCAAGCCUUCACGGCGGCGGCGGCGGUAGCCCGAGUUCCGCUCCCGGUCCCGACUCCACGGCUGCGUCGUCUUGCCGAAAUCGGCGUCAACGGAAGACCGGUGCUAACCUUCCAUGGCGGCCGUACCGAAUGAACGCUGCCGCGGUCCUGCUAUCCGCGACCUCUCUGGCGCCCAGCCCGGAGACUCCCUCUUCGACACAUCGCCGUUGAUGCGGCUGAUAUGCUAUGGCGGCUGCCGCCUUUCGCGGGAUUGGGAGACGAUGCUGGCUGGGAUCUCUCCUGGUCGCUCGUCCCUUAUCCGUUCGGCUGACCAGAGCGGUCCUAGAUGGGCUGCCCGUGUGGCUCAUUUGCAUGCGGUGGAGCCAUCAACACCUCCUGCUUAUUCACAAAAUUGCUCUCAUAUUCGAGCUUUUUAGCACAGUUGAUUCCAUUCCUUUUUCAUUCGUCCUCCGAGAUGGCGACCCAAACGAAUCAAUUUGAUAAGCGCAAAGGAACACAAUCCCUUACAUAUCCCAUUGAGCCCGCAGGCUUAAAAUACUUUGCAAAUUAACUGUUAUACUUUCUGUGAAU
Molecule: long non-coding RNA, 1354 nt
Filed under: Hordeum vulgare
Lineage: Eukaryota; Viridiplantae; Streptophyta; Magnoliopsida; Poales; Poaceae
Description: long non-coding RNA (HVUL_LNC017780)
Source: RNAcentral